UACGUAGGGUGCGAGCGUUAACCGGAAUUACUGGGCGUAAAGCGUGCGCAGGCGGUUUGUUAAGACAGAUGUGAAAUCCCCGGGCUUAACCUGGGAACUGCGUUUGUUACUGGCAAGCUAGAGUGUGUCAGAGGGAGGUAGAAUUCCACGUGUAGCAGUGAAAUGCGUAGAUAUGUGGAGGAAUACCGAUGGCGAAGGCAGCCUCCUGGGAUAACACUGACGCUCAUGCACGAAAGCGUGGGGAGCAAACAGG
RNAcentral lists this ribosomal RNA (253 nucleotides) under uncultured bacterium. Its description in RNAcentral is "partial 16S ribosomal RNA". It matches the Rfam family "Bacterial small subunit ribosomal RNA", at positions 524 to 776 of the family's 1533-position model. The record is from RNAcentral.